CCUACGGGAGGCAGCAGUGGGGAAUAUUGGACAAUGGGGGGAACCCUGAUCCAGCGACGCCGCGUGAGUGAAGAAGUAUUUCGGUAUGUAAAGCUCUAUCAGCAGGGAAGAAAAUGACGGUACCUGACUAAGAAGCCCCGGCUAACUACGUGCCAGCAGCCGCGGUAAUACGUAUGGGGCAAGCGUUAUCCGGAUUUACUGGGUGUAAAGGGAGCGUAGACGGUUAUGUAAGUCUGGAGUGAAAGCCCGGGGCCCAACCCCGGGACUGCUUUGGAAACUGUGUAACUGGAGGACAGGAGGGGCAGGCGGAAUUCCUGGUGUAGCGGUGAAAUGCGUAGAUAUCAGGAGGAACACCGGCGGCGAAGGCGGCCUGCUGGACUGAAACUGACGUUGAGGCUCGAAAGCGUGGGGAGCAAACAGGAUUAGAUACCCUAGUAGUC
Molecule: ribosomal RNA, 440 nt
Filed under: uncultured bacterium
Lineage: Bacteria
Description: partial 16S ribosomal RNA
Rfam family: Bacterial small subunit ribosomal RNA
Source: RNAcentral